Molecule: unclassified non-coding RNA, 437 nt
Filed under: Hevea brasiliensis (rubber tree)
Lineage: Eukaryota; Viridiplantae; Streptophyta; Magnoliopsida; Malpighiales; Euphorbiaceae
Source: RNAcentral
GAGUUGCAAUUGCAUGAUAUAAUUAUAUUAAAUUUUAUUACUACCACUUUCUUGUUUCCCUGUGUUAAUAUUCCACAUUGAUUUGGGAUACGGUUAAGGCCUUGAGUACUCCUCUUCUCUUGAGCUAGCUUUUGGACUUGAGUUAGGCUCCGGCCAUUUUCUUAAUAUGGUAUGAGAGCCUCCCCAACUAAUGUUAUGCCUCCUAUAAGUGUUUAAUGUCUCAGGUGUUCAAUCCUGGGCAUGAGGGGCGUACAUGUGUUAAUACUCCACAUUGGUUUAGAAUAAAAGAGGUUGAAGACUAUGUUCAGCAUUUCAAAUGUCAAAAAUGUAGGCAAUCAACAUUGAGGAACUAAUUGCUUAACUACCUUAACUGCGCCGCGCCCCCACCUUCUUUUUUCCAAGCUGUUUGAUACUAGGGGCAUGUUUUCAUAUGAAUA